UGGGGAAUAUUGCACAAUGGGCGCAAGCCUGAUGCAGCCAUGCCGCGUGUGUGAAGAAGGCCUUCGGGUUGUAAAGCACUUUCAGCGGGGAGGAAGGCGAUAAGGUUAAUAACCUUGUCGAUUGACGUUACCCGCAGAAGAAGCACCGGCUAACUCCGUGCCAGCAGCCGCGGUAAUACGGAGGGUGCAAGCGUUAAUCGGAAUUACUGGGCGUAAAGCGCACGCAGGCGGUCUGUCAAGUCGGAUGUGAAAUCCCCGGGCUCAACCUGGGAACUGCAUUCGAAACUGGCAGGCUAGAGUCUUGUAGAGGGGGGUAGAAUUCCAGAUGUAGCGGUGAAAUGCGUAGAGAUCUGGAGGAAUACCGGUGGCGAAGGCGGCCCCCUGGACAAAGACUGACGCUCAGGUGCGAAAGCGUGGGGAGCAAACAGG
RNAcentral lists this ribosomal RNA (429 nucleotides) under Chloroflexota bacterium. RNAcentral's name for it is "Chloroflexi bacterium partial 16S ribosomal RNA". It matches the Rfam family "Bacterial small subunit ribosomal RNA", at positions 355 to 776 of the family's 1533-position model. The record is from RNAcentral. Lineage: Bacteria; Bacillati; Chloroflexota.